GCAAACUUGGUCAUUUAGAGGAAGUACAAGUCGUAACAAGGUUUCCGUAGGUGAACCUGCGGAAGGAUCAUUAACAAGUCGAGUAUUGUGUGGUAUUUUAUAUAUUGCACAUUCAUUUGUGCUCUGGCGGUAUGCUAGAAUGCACCUAUUAUAUAUAUGUUGUCAUGUGCAAUAAUGUAAGAAUUUACAAUCAAUAUACAUCAUACUUUUAACAAUGGAUCUCUUGGCUCUUGCAUCGAUGAAGAACGCAGC
Molecule: unclassified non-coding RNA, 252 nt
Filed under: uncultured fungus
Lineage: Eukaryota; Fungi
Description: partial contains small subunit ribosomal RNA, internal transcribed spacer 1, and 5.8S ribosomal RNA
Rfam family: Eukaryotic small subunit ribosomal RNA (bases 1-73)
Source: RNAcentral